RNAcentral lists this ribosomal RNA (253 nucleotides) under uncultured bacterium. RNAcentral describes it as "partial 16S ribosomal RNA". It matches the Rfam family "Bacterial small subunit ribosomal RNA", at positions 524 to 776 of the family's 1533-position model. The record is from RNAcentral.
UACGUAGGGAGCAAGCGUUGUCCGGAAUCAUUGGGCGUAAAGCGCGCGUAGGCGGCCCUGUAAGUCCGCUGUGAAAGUCAAAGGCUCAACCUUUGAAAGCCGGUGGAUACUGCAGGGCUAGAGUCCGGAAGAGGCGAGUGGAAUUCCUGGUGUAGCGGUGGAAUGCGCAGAUAUCAGGAGGAACACCAAUAGCGAAGGCAGCUCGCUGGGACGGUACUGACGCUAAGGCGCGAAAGUGUGGGGAGCGAACAGG